GGACUGGGACCAAGGGUCCAGUUUCACCUUUGCUACUCAAAGGCAAAGAAGAUAGGACCUAUACCUGCAAUUAAAGUGGGCACAGUUCUGCUUUAAUAUCUAUUAAUUCUGGAGUAACAAAGCUAAGAGAAGAAUGACUAAAACAAGAGUCACAGCAGGAUUAAUUUGAAGACACACUUUUUACAUGUUGAAAUGGAACUGCAGAUCCAUUGGUGAGAGGAGACCUUACUGAUGAACAUACCCUAUAUAAAAAGCGAGAGGAACAGACAUACUUUUUGUUUAUAUGCAGAAAGAGAUUAAUCUAUUCAGGUGUUACUGAAAUAGGGAACACUGCUGCUGGAAAGAUUUCCCCUGGGAUUCAUGGGAGCUGCCUGUAUCCUGAAGCUGGAGGAGGGGGCCUGCAAAUACGUUCUGGUAGUGCAUCUCUGAAUUUUGAUGAUCAUCUGUUGAUAAAUUGUAUGGGCCAUCCUGUGUCAAGACCAUCAUUGCUGUCUCCUCCUUUUAGUCAGCAAUUUGUCUUCAACCUUACUACUUAGGUUAUGCCUUUUUCUCCUCCAUCUCUAAACCCUUGCUUCACCGUAAAUAUUUGCAAUAACUCACAUUUCACUCUUCCUUGUUCCUCUUCUAGGUAGGAACAAACACAGUGUCAAUACUGUGCAGAUGUGUUUUAACGCAAGAGAAUAUUUCGGUGAGCUUGAUGGUGAGUUGUAAAAUCUUUGUGGUAAGCUCACAACACAGGAGGAUCCUUUGAUAAACAUAAGUAACUGGAGUUUACCAUGAGUGUAUCUUUGUCAGAGAAUGUUUUUCUUUCUGUUUCCUACAGCAUUGCUUGCUCUAGUUCAGGAGUCAAAAAGUUAAGAGUUUUGGACAAUGGGUAGUACUAUCUAUGAUUUGAAAUUCUGUUUUAACUAAUGUUUUAUACUGUUUGCUUAAAAUUUACUGUGUCUGCAAGCAACCCCUCUUGUAAAAUUAUUUACCAUUGAAAUUCACUAUUGCUGAAAGCAAACAUAAAAAACAUUAUCAGGUUCUAAGUUAAUUUGUUUAAAAAUG
Neopelma chrysocephalum (saffron-crested tyrant-manakin) is the source of this 1050-nucleotide long non-coding RNA. RefSeq lists it as uncharacterized. The transcript is spliced from 3 exons. The record is from RefSeq and is a predicted model, not a curated record. NCBI's taxonomy places the organism in Eukaryota, Metazoa, Chordata, Aves, Passeriformes, Pipridae.